GCAUUGGUGGUUCACCGGUAGAAUUCUCGCCUUCUAAGCAGGAGAUCCAAGUUUGAUUCCCAGCCAGUGCA
This 71-nucleotide transfer RNA is filed under the name Loxodonta africana (African savanna elephant). It matches the Rfam family "tRNA". From Rfam's summary of the family: Transfer RNA (tRNA) molecules are approximately 80 nucleotides in length. Their secondary structure includes four short double-helical elements and three loops (D, anti-codon, and T loops). Further hydrogen bonds mediate the characteristic L-shaped molecular structure. tRNAs have two regions of fundamental functional importance: the anti-codon, which is responsible for specific mRNA codon recognition, and the 3' end, to which the tRNAs corresponding amino acid is attached (by aminoacyl-tRNA synthetases). tRNAs cope with the degeneracy of the genetic code in two manners: having more than one tRNA (with a specific anti-codon) for a particular amino acid; and 'wobble' base-pairing, i.e. permitting non-standard base-pairing at the 3rd anti-codon position. The record is from Rfam by way of RNAcentral. Lineage: Eukaryota; Metazoa; Chordata; Mammalia; Proboscidea; Elephantidae.